Molecule: transfer RNA, 93 nt
Filed under: Pseudomonadota bacterium
Lineage: Bacteria; Pseudomonadati; Pseudomonadota
Description: Proteobacteria bacterium (marine metagenome) tRNA-Ser
Rfam family: tRNA
About the family: Transfer RNA (tRNA) molecules are approximately 80 nucleotides in length. Their secondary structure includes four short double-helical elements and three loops (D, anti-codon, and T loops).
Source: RNAcentral
GGAGGGGUGGCCGAGCGGACGAAGGCGCCUGACUCGAAAUCAGGUGUGCGGGCUAUACCCGCACCGGGGGUUCGAAUCCCUCCCCCUCCGCCG